This 433-nucleotide ribosomal RNA is filed under the name Cryptosporidium felis. Its description in RNAcentral is "partial small subunit ribosomal RNA". It matches the Rfam family "Eukaryotic small subunit ribosomal RNA", at positions 594 to 1033 of the family's 1831-position model. Lineage: Eukaryota; Apicomplexa; Conoidasida; Eucoccidiorida; Cryptosporidiidae. The record is from RNAcentral.
AUAGCGUAUAUUAAAGUUGUUGCAGUUAAAAAGCUCGUAGUUGGAUUUCUGUUAAUACCUUAUAUAUAAUAUUUUUUUUUAAAUAUUAUUAUGUAAGAUUAACAUAAUUCAUAUUUUUUAAGACUGAAUUUUUAGUUUUGAUAAUAUGAAAUUUUACUUUGAGAAAAUUAGAGUGCUUAAAGCAGGCUUUUGCCUUGAAUACUCCAGCAUGGAAUAAUAAUAAAAGAUUUUUAUCUUUUUUUUAUUGGUUCUAAGAUAAAAAUAAUGAUUAAUAGGGACAGUUGGGGGCAUUUGUAUUUAACAGUCAGAGGUGAUAUUCUUAGAUUUGUUAAAGACAAACUAAUGCGAAAGCAUUUGCCAAGGAUGUUUUCAUUAAUCAAGAACGAAAGUUAGGGGAUCGAAGACGAUCAGAUACCGUCGUAGUCUUAACCAU